UNCUCUUGNNUNNNCNGAAUUCGGCAGAGAUGCCUUAGUGCCUUCGGGAACUGUGAGACAGGUGCUGCAUGGCUGUCGUCAGCUCGUGUUGUGAAAUGUUGGGUUAAGUCCCGCAACGAGCGCAACCCUUAUCCUUUGUUGCCAGCACGUAAUGGUGGGAACUCAAAGGAGACUGCCGGUGAUAAACCGGAGGAAGGUGGGGAUGACGUCAAGUCAUCAUGGCCCUUACGAGUAGGGCUACACACGUGCUACAAUGGCGUAUACAAAGAGAAGCGAACUCGCGAGAGCCAGCGGACCUCAUAAAGUACGUCGUAGUCCGGAUCGGAGUCUGCAACUCGACUCCGUGAAGUCGGAAUCGCUAGUAAUCGUAGAUCAGAAUGCUACGGUGAAUACGUUCCCGGG
Molecule: ribosomal RNA, 402 nt
Filed under: Serratia sp. AZTITEMP206
Lineage: Bacteria; Pseudomonadati; Pseudomonadota; Gammaproteobacteria; Enterobacterales; Yersiniaceae
Description: bacterial SSU rRNA
Rfam family: Bacterial small subunit ribosomal RNA
Source: RNAcentral